GCUGUGCGGGCCUUUCUGCUGUUGCCGCCACCGCCAUUUUCCACGGAGGGUGCCCGGCGCGGUGCGUUCAUCCGCGGCCAUCCGACUGCAGCUCUGCUCCCCGUCCUGGGGGACUGAGCCGGGAAGAGCCGCCCCGAUAUGAGAGCGAAGUGGCGGAAGAAGCGUAUGCGCAGGCUGAAGCGCAAAAGGAGAAAGAUGAGGCAGAGGUCUAAGUAGACAUCUCUACAGUGCUACUGAAGCUGCAGAACAGAGCAUGGAAGGGUGGAGCUCGGGAAGCUGAAGUAUUCCAGACCAUACCUGCUGUUUGAUGCUACUCUUAGAAGACUCCUCGCCUGCCUUCGGGAGGUUCCAUCUUGAAGCCUAGCAGCUUUGAUCGAUAAAGGCUGGUGCUCCUGAGCUGUGCUGUCCUGGACUGGUUCUCUUCUUUGCAGCAUGAUGUAGUGACGGUAUAAAAUAAAACCCUUUUGGGGAAUUCA
Eublepharis macularius is the source of this 476-nucleotide long non-coding RNA. RefSeq lists it as uncharacterized. The record is from RefSeq and is a predicted model, not a curated record. NCBI's taxonomy places the organism in Eukaryota, Metazoa, Chordata, Lepidosauria, Squamata, Eublepharidae. The transcript has 3 exons.